Peromyscus eremicus (cactus mouse) is the source of this 811-nucleotide RNA transcript. It is a transcript of the gene named submaxillary gland androgen-regulated protein 3A-like, with no coding region annotated. The record is from RefSeq and is a predicted model, not a curated record. The transcript has 4 exons. NCBI's taxonomy places the organism in Eukaryota, Metazoa, Chordata, Mammalia, Rodentia, Cricetidae.
UCUCUCUAGAGAAACAACACACUAGGAUACAGAGAGACAGACAGAGGCAGAGGCAGAGACAGACAGAGAGAGACAGAGAGACAGAGGAAGAGACGCUGGCUGGAAAUCCACGUAAGAGCUGUUGCUGCAGAAUGGAGUCUGAAGUCCACAGGGUCUGCCAACAGACUACAACAUAUAUAAGAGCUGAGAGUUCUGGGGCAUUUGUCCUUCAUCUUCCUCCACUCAGAAAUAACUGACCAGAGUCCUCCUGGCGAGCAGACUAAUCAGCUAAGAAGAAGCUUCUCCAAGGAGACACCAAAGAUGAAACCACUAUAUUUGGUCUUGGGUCUUUGGGUUUUUGGAGGAUGUUUCCUGUCUGCUGAGUGUCACAGAGGCCCCAGAAGACAACGUGAUCUUAGAGGAUGGCUUCCUCCUCUUGCCCCUCGCAAAAGUCCAAGAUUUUCCAACUUUAAUUUCUCUAGUCAAGAAUUUGUUAUGAUUCUCCCUCUUCCCACCUAUGGUCCAGGAUUUAGACCAUUUCGUCCUCUUAGUUCAAAGCUACCUUACAUGCCAAGACCUCCACAACCCAGACCUCCAAACACUCCUCACCUCUUCAACGUCUCCCUCAAUAAAACACUAUUGCCAAUAUCUCCCUAACUACUGCUACUGUCUCAGAUUCCACUGAUGAUUUUCUGAGCUGGUGGCAAAAAUUGAUUUCCCUUUGGCAGUAAGGAUGAGAUAGUCCAAAGCACUGUGAGGAUUUGGGAUAAAUGAUCUUUAAAGGCUUAAGAAACAACCCCUUCCCAAGCAUUAUACAAAAUGAAAAUAAAGA